Molecule: long non-coding RNA, 202 nt
Filed under: Mytilus galloprovincialis (Mediterranean mussel)
Lineage: Eukaryota; Metazoa; Mollusca; Bivalvia; Mytilida; Mytilidae
Source: RNAcentral
UUUGGACAGUAGAGUGGGGUGCUCAUUUUCGCCAUAUCUUUCCAUGUUUUCUACAGUUUAUGUUCAGGUCUAUAUGUUUUUGAAGUAUACUGAUAUUUCUAUAUGAAGAUAACUUCAAAUGCAAAACAUUCCUAAGCUUGAAAACAUGUUUGUUUGAAAAUAAUCAUCUGUAAAGUAAGAUUAAAGGGUGUUUGAAAUUUCC